CUUUGUUUGUGCUCAUUCACAUAGCAUAAGAAGAAUGAGGAGCAGUCAUCAAGACAGUUAGCUGUUGAUUUUCCUUAUUGAUGACAACCAUGGAAGUGAUUUCUAAAUCAAGUGAAGUGAAAUUUUAAGGCAGAAGACAAAGGAACUAUGAUUUAGGUCAAUUUUACCCAUUUAUCUGCAAGAAUCUAAUAUUAUUGUCUUAUUUAAGGUAAUAAUUAUUACUCUUCAAAAACCUGAUCACAUAUAUGGUGCAUUAAUCCAAAUUGUGUACAUGAAAAGUAUCAGUGAUAGAUCAGUAACACCAAACAACCAAGGUUCCUCAAUGUCAAAAACUCAAGUUUCAACAAUUUUCUUACUUCAAUUGUUUCCUGUUUGUAUAUCCAUUAUCCAUAUGUUUUUGUUUUCACCUUCAAUUUGAAUGCCAAACUAAACCAAGUUAUAUGCUCUGUUUUAACAAUGGAUGUAUUGUUCAUUUACAACUUACCUCUAACCAGAUGCUAAGUUGUUUGCAUCUUAUGAUUAUCAUGAAUGUAUAUAGGCAUAAAAAGAAGUUCAAGAAG
RNAcentral lists this unclassified non-coding RNA (560 nucleotides) under Hevea brasiliensis (rubber tree). The record is from RNAcentral. Lineage: Eukaryota; Viridiplantae; Streptophyta; Magnoliopsida; Malpighiales; Euphorbiaceae.